UCCUGGGUGGCUCAGUCGGCUGAGCAUCUGACUUCAGCUCAGGUCAUGAUCUCACAGCUUGUGGGUUCAAGCCCCACGUCAGGCU
RNAcentral lists this transfer RNA (85 nucleotides) under Felis catus (domestic cat). It matches the Rfam family "tRNA". From Rfam's summary of the family: Transfer RNA (tRNA) molecules are approximately 80 nucleotides in length. Their secondary structure includes four short double-helical elements and three loops (D, anti-codon, and T loops). The record is from Rfam by way of RNAcentral. Lineage: Eukaryota; Metazoa; Chordata; Mammalia; Carnivora; Felidae.